UGAGUACGAGAUGCUACGGCAUCGAAGCAGUCUAUGUCAUACUUCCAAGAAAAGCUUGCAAUGUCAUAAACAAAUAAUGCCUGUACCAUAACCGACACAGGUGGGUAGGUAGAGUAUACUAAGGGGCGCGAGAUAACUCUCUCUAAGGAACUCGGCAAAAUGACUCCGUAACUUCGGGAGAAGGAGUGCCUUAUUUUUAUAAGGUUGCAAUAACAAGAUCCAAGCAACUGUUUACCAAAAACACAGGUCUCCGCUAAGUCGUAAGACGAUGUAUGGGGGCUGACGCCUGCCCAGUGCCAGAAGGUUAAAGAAGUUGGUUAGCAUUAGCGAAGCUGAUAACUGAAGCCCUGGUGAACAGCGGCCGUAACUAUAACGGUCCUAAGGUAGCGAAAUUCCUUGUCGGGUAAGUUCCGACCCGCACGAAAGGCGUAAUGAUUUGGAUACUGUCUCGGAGAGGGGCUCGGUGAAAUAGACUUGUCUGUGAAGAUGCGGACUACCUGCACCUGGACAGAAAGACCCUAUGAAGCUUUACUGUAACUUGAGAUUGAAAUUGGACUUUAUCUGCGCAGUAUAGGUGGGAGACGUUGAAAAUAUUCUUGCGGGAAUAUUGGAGUCAUCAGUGAGAUACCACUCUUAUAAUGUUAGAUUCCUAACUUUGUAUCAUUAUCUGGUCAAAGAACAGUUUCAGGCGGGCAGUUUGACUGGGGCGGUCGCCUCCCAAACGGUAACGGAGGCGCACAAAGGUUUCCUCUGAACGUGUAGAAAUCGUAUCUAGAGUGUUAAGGCAUAAGGAAGCUUGACUGUGAGACCUACAAGUCGAGCAGGGACGAAGGUCGGUCUUAGUGAUCUGACGGUGCUGAGUGGAAAGGCCGUCACUCAACGGAUAAAAGUUACUCUAGGAUAACAGGCUGAUCUCCCCCAAGAGUUCACAUCGACGGGGAGGUUUGGCACCUCGAUGUCGGCUCAUCGCAUCCUGGGGCGGUAGUACGUCCCAAGGGUUGGGCUGUUCGCCCAUGAAAGCGGUACGCGAGCUGGGUUCAGAACGUCGUGAGACAGUUCGGUCCAUAUCCGGUGUAGGCGUUAGAAUAUUGAGAGGAGCCUUCUUUAGUACGAGAGGACCGAGAAGGACAUACCUCUGGUGUGCCAGUUAUCGUGCCAACGGUAAACGCUGGGUAGCCAUGUAUGGAGAGGAUAACCGCUGAAAGCAUCUAAGUGGGAAGCCCACCUCAAGAUAAGUAUUC
RNAcentral lists this ribosomal RNA (1241 nucleotides) under metagenome. RNAcentral's name for it is "bacterial LSU rRNA". It matches the Rfam family "Bacterial large subunit ribosomal RNA", at positions 1564 to 2813 of the family's 2925-position model. The record is from RNAcentral.